This 76-nucleotide transfer RNA is filed under the name Candidatus Atribacteria bacterium. RNAcentral's name for it is "tRNA-Val". It matches the Rfam family "tRNA". Rfam says of the family: Transfer RNA (tRNA) molecules are approximately 80 nucleotides in length. Their secondary structure includes four short double-helical elements and three loops (D, anti-codon, and T loops). The record is from RNAcentral. Lineage: Bacteria; Pseudomonadati; Atribacterota; Atribacteria. RNAcentral also lists the same sequence under 1 other name.
GGGCGGGUAGUUCAGUGGCUAGAACGCCUGUCUUACAAACAGGAGGUCAGAGGUUCGACUCCUCUCUCGCCCACCA